RNAcentral lists this ribosomal RNA (253 nucleotides) under uncultured bacterium. RNAcentral describes it as "partial 16S ribosomal RNA". It matches the Rfam family "Bacterial small subunit ribosomal RNA", at positions 524 to 776 of the family's 1533-position model. The record is from RNAcentral.
UACGGAGGGUGCGAGCGUUAAUCGGAAUUACUGGGCGUAAAGAGUGCGUAGGUGGUUGAUUAAGUUAUCUGUGAAAUCCCUGGGCUCAACCUGGGCAGGUCAGAUGAUACUGGUUAACUCGAGUAUGGGAGAGGGUAGUGGAAUUUCCGGUGUAGCGGUGAAAUGCGUAGAGAUCGGAAGGAACACCAGUGGCGAAGGCGGCUACCUGGCCUAAUACUGACACUGAGGCACGAAGGCCAGGGGAGCAAACGGG